Molecule: long non-coding RNA, 878 nt
Filed under: Rhinopithecus bieti (black snub-nosed monkey)
Lineage: Eukaryota; Metazoa; Chordata; Mammalia; Primates; Cercopithecidae
Description: lncRNA (ENSRBIG00000046550.1)
Source: RNAcentral
GGGCCAUGGCUAUGUGGCAACAUGAAGGCCAAAUGAUAGAGGGUAUUUAAGGUCUCCUACUGAGGUCUAAUCAAAUGAUGUUUUUCCCACUAUUUGAAAACUUGGGAAAAAUUUGUUUUCAUGUUGAGGUAAAAGGAGAUCUUUCCUAGGGUAAUUUGAGGGUGAAUUGAAGACUAGCAUAGCUAGGUGUUCACAUAAUGAUUUUAUUCAGGAGAGUGUAAUUUAAAAAAAAAAAGCAUAGAAAUAUUUAAAGAGCUGAGAUUAAGCUUUAAUCAAUUAAACAUUUUAAUUAUUUGGGACAAAUAACUAACAUUUCACUAUCAAAUGAAUCUGUUUUGAAGUACCAUUGAAAGUUGCAUUGAUGCCAAUAAACAGUCUUUUCGUUUUUCUUUUUGCCUCAGUGGUGCAUGUCACUUUCCUGCAAGGCAACUAGUUUGCAGAUAUGGUCAGAGGGAAAAUUACUGAACAACAAAAUGAAAAGGGGGCAUAAGUCAGCCAGCUCUCUCAAUCCUAGGAAAGGAAACUUCCCUCCUGCUUAUGAAAGAGGACGAUUGUGCUCAGUACCACUUAACCAGUGCCAACAAUCUGAGGCCAAGAAACUUGAAAAAGUGAUAGAAGCAGGGUACCGUUUGCAUCAUCAAACACAGCUCAGUACACAGAUUAAAAAAUAAGCCGUUUGGGCCAUGUGCACUGAAAGAAUGGCUAUAACUCUUGCCCUGAUCAGAGGCUUCCACAAACUAGCAUUGAACUCACUGGGGGUCCAACAGAGAAGAAAAGGAGGAAAUCCAGGAGAUAAAUUAAGGAAUUUUGGAGAAGGUGAGAUACUUAAAUUUUAUAAAGAUUUUUCAAUUAAAUUGAAUAAAACCCACUUUCUAAUC